GACGAACGCUGGCGGCGUGCUUAACACAUGCAAGUCGAGCGGAGCGGCGAACGGGUGAGUAACGCGUGAGUAACUGCCCCCCUCUCUGUGAUAACAGUUGGAAACGGCUGCUCAUACCGGAUAGUGGGGGUUGACUCGCGUCCUAUCAGCUUGUUGGUGGGGUAGGGGCCUACCAAGGCGACGACGGGUAGCCGGCCUGAGAGGGCGACCGGCCACAUUGGUCUGAGAUACGGCCCAAACGCCGACGGGAGGCAGCAGUGGGGAAUAUGGCACAAUGGGGGAAACCCUGAUGCAGCAACGCCGCGUGCGGGAUGACGGCCUGCGGGGUGUAAACCGCUUUCAGCCAUGACGCGGUAGUUGCAGAAGAAGCACCGGCUAACUACGUGCCAGCAGCCGCGGUAAUAC
This 405-nucleotide ribosomal RNA is filed under the name uncultured bacterium. RNAcentral's name for it is "partial 16S ribosomal RNA". It matches the Rfam family "Bacterial small subunit ribosomal RNA", at positions 28 to 526 of the family's 1533-position model. The record is from RNAcentral.